This 253-nucleotide ribosomal RNA is filed under the name uncultured bacterium. Its description in RNAcentral is "partial 16S ribosomal RNA". It matches the Rfam family "Bacterial small subunit ribosomal RNA", at positions 524 to 776 of the family's 1533-position model. The record is from RNAcentral.
UACGGAGGGUGCAAACGUUGCUCGGAAUCAUUGGGCGUAAAGCGCACGUAGGCGGCCUGUUAAGUCGGAUGUGAAAGCCCCGGGCUCAACCCGGGAAGUGCAUACGAAACUGGCAGGCUUGAAUAUGGAAGAGGGUCGCGGAAUUCCCGGUGUAGAGGUGAAAUUCGUAGAUAUCGGGAGGAACACCAGUGGCGAAGGCGGCGACCUGGGCCAAUAUUGACGCUGAUGUGCGAAAGCGUGGGGAGCAAACAGG